GACGAACGCUGGCGGCGUGCCUAAUACAUGCAAGUUGAGCGCUGAAGGUUGGUACUUGUACCAACUGGAUGAGCAGCGAACGGGUGAGUAACGCGUGGGGAAUCUGCCUUUGAGCGGGGGACAACAUUUGGAAACGAAUGCUAAUACCGCAUAAAAACUUUAAACACAAGUUUUAAGUUUGAAAGAUGCAAUUGCAUCACUCAAAGAUGAUCCCGCGUUGUAUUAGCUAGUUGGUGAGGUAAAGGCUCACCAAGGCGAUGAUACAUAGCCGACCUGAGAGGGUGAUCGGCCACAUUGGGACUGAGACACGGCCCAAACUCCUACGGGAGGCAGCAGUAGGGAAUCUUCGGAAAUGGACGAAAGUCUGACCGAGCAACGCAGCGUGAGUGAAGAAGGGUUUCGGAUCGUAAAACUCUGUUGGUAGAGAAGAACGUUGGUGAGAGUGGAAAGCUCAUCAAGUGACGGUAACUACCCAGAAAGGGACGGCUAACUACGUG
RNAcentral lists this ribosomal RNA (497 nucleotides) under uncultured bacterium. RNAcentral's name for it is "partial 16S ribosomal RNA". It matches the Rfam family "Bacterial small subunit ribosomal RNA", at positions 28 to 507 of the family's 1533-position model. The record is from RNAcentral.